Molecule: non-coding RNA, 752 nt
Organism: Malus domestica (apple)
Lineage: Eukaryota; Viridiplantae; Streptophyta; Magnoliopsida; Rosales; Rosaceae
Source: RefSeq, a predicted model, not a curated record
UGGAUUGUAGUAUAAUUUUAUUUUGGUUCAUUUCUUUUUUCCUUUAUAUAAGUGCAGGUGUUGUGAUGUUUUGAAUAAAGGGUGAUGAAAGGUGGUUCACACACUUCCUCCUUACUUAAAGCAAGUGGAGAUGAUGGGUUGUAUAAAAAGAAAAACUUGCCAGAGUUGGCUUCAUUUCAUUCCAGUAACUCUAUUCCAGUAACUCUCUAAAUAGGGCCAAGAACUCACUAAAUAGGUAGUCAAGAGGAAUUCAGUUUUGCCUUCAAUUUUUGCCUUCUGUUUACAUUCUUCCUGGAUGCACUCUCACCGCUUCUCUCGCUUACCACUUUUGUCUCACUCACCGCUUCAUCUCUUCUGUUGCUUACAAGGUGAAUGGAGAGAUUUACAACCAUGAAGAGCUGAGGAGCCGUUUGCCAAAUCAGAUUUAUAAGGUCUCAUCAAUUAUAAAUAAACGACUUUUCAUUCCCAAUGACCUUUAUCGUUUUUCUUAAUGGGUUAGCUGAACAUGAGGUAGAUGCUGACUUUAUAAAAUAUGAGAAUGUUUUAGGAUUUCAUUCUAAUUUUUUGGCUGUUUGAUUACUUUGCUUUUCGUAAUUUGUUUUGCUUAUCGUCAAUUGGAUGGGACAACAUAUUUUUGUAACCAGUUUGUACUUUUUUUUUUUGUGGAAACUAACCAGUAUGUACUUUUACCAUCUCGGUUUUGAUGGAAUUGGAGCUUUCAGUAAUGGGUUCUGAGGGAAUUGGAGUUUUGA